AAGGCACAUCUCUGGGCUGUAACUGACGCUGAGAGCGAAAGCGUGGGAGCGAACAGGAUUAGAUACCCUGGUAGUCCACGCCGUAAACGGUGGGUGCUAGCUGUGGGCCACAUUCCACGUGGUCCGUGACGAAGUUAACACAUUAAGCACCCCGCCUGGGGAGUACGGCCGCAAGGCUAAAACUCAAAGGAAUUGACGGGGGCCCGCACAAGCGGCGGAGCAUGCGGAUUAAUUCGACGCAACGCGAAGAACCUUACCAAGGCUUGACAUAUACAGGAAAAGCGUAGAAAUACGCUCCCCGCAAGGUCUGUAUACAGGUGGUGCAUGGUUGUCGUCAGCUCGUGUCGUGAGAUGUUGGGUUAAGUCCCGCAACGAGCGCAACCCUCGUCCUAUGUUGCCAGCACGUAAUGGUGGGAACUCAUGGGAUACUGCCGGGGUCAACUCGGAGGAAGGUGGGGAUGACGUCAAAUCAUCAUGCCCCUUAUGUCUUGGGCUUCACGCAUGCUACAAUGGCCGGUACAGAGGGCUGCAAUACCGUAAGGUGGAGCGAAUCCCAAAAAGCCGGUCUCAGUUCGGAUUGAGGUCUGCAACUCGACCUCAUGAAGUCGGAGUCGCUAGUAAUCGUAGAUCAGCAACGCUACGGUGAAUACGUUCCCGGGCCUUGUACACACCGCCCGUCAAGUCACGAAAGUCGAUAACACCCGAAGCCGGUGGCCUAACCGCAAGGAGGGAGCCGUCGAAGGUGGGAUUGGUAAUUGGGACUAAGUCGUAACAAGGUAGCCGUACCGGAAGGUGCGGCUG
RNAcentral lists this ribosomal RNA (801 nucleotides) under metagenome. RNAcentral's name for it is "bacterial SSU rRNA". It matches the Rfam family "Bacterial small subunit ribosomal RNA", at positions 718 to 1520 of the family's 1533-position model. The record is from RNAcentral.